ACUCCUGUAGCCCAACCGGAAGAGGCGCUGGUCUUAGACACCAGAGGUUGUGGGUUCGACUCCCACCAGGAGUAC
RNAcentral lists this transfer RNA (75 nucleotides) under Acaryochloris thomasi RCC1774. RNAcentral's name for it is "Acaryochloris sp. RCC1774 tRNA-Leu". It matches the Rfam family "tRNA". From Rfam's summary of the family: Transfer RNA (tRNA) molecules are approximately 80 nucleotides in length. Their secondary structure includes four short double-helical elements and three loops (D, anti-codon, and T loops). Lineage: Bacteria; Bacillati; Cyanobacteriota; Cyanophyceae; Acaryochloridales; Acaryochloridaceae. The record is from RNAcentral.